UACAGAGGUCUCAAGCGUUGUUCGGAUUCAUUGGGCGUAAAGGGUGCGUAGGCGGCGCGGUAAGUCGGGUGUGAAAUCUCGGAGCUUAACUCCGAAACUGCAUUCGAUACUGCCGUGCUUGAGGACUGGAGAGGAGACUGGAAUUUACGGUGUAGCGGUGAAAUGCGUAGAUAUCGUAAGGAACACCAGUGGCGAAGGCGGGUCUCUGGACAGUUCCUGACGCUGAGGCACGAA
This 234-nucleotide ribosomal RNA is filed under the name uncultured bacterium. RNAcentral describes it as "partial 16S ribosomal RNA". It matches the Rfam family "Bacterial small subunit ribosomal RNA", at positions 524 to 757 of the family's 1533-position model. The record is from RNAcentral.